RNAcentral lists this small RNA (3258 nucleotides) under Pongo abelii (Sumatran orangutan). RNAcentral's name for it is "retained intron". The record is from RNAcentral. Lineage: Eukaryota; Metazoa; Chordata; Mammalia; Primates; Hominidae.
UGUCCUGAAUGGUGGUGCCUCGCUCUUCUCUGCUCUGGCCACGGUGCUGUGUGAAGCCGGGGCACAUGUGUCUCUAUGGCAACGUCCGGCUGGCCUAUGUCUACCUGGACAGUGAGGUAAGAGUCUUGACUUCCCAGGUGGAACCUGGGCCUGCCUGUGGUCAAGAGUUUCCUGAGUCUGAAUUUGAGGGUGGUCCAUGCUGAGGGCUCUGGGGUUGUGAUGAGUAGGGAAUGGAGCCUUCUGUUGCCACAUGGCUGCCUGUGCCUGGGUUCCCCGGUGGCUCCAAAGUUCCAGUCUCUGAGAUCCCUGGGGUUGAUGUAGAAGCCAAGAGCCAGACCUAGAAACAGCGAGGUAGGAACAGAGCAGGGCAGAUCUAAGCAUGGCACCUGAGAGUGUUGAGGGGGUCCCUGAUGUGAUGGGGUGGGGGUGGAUGGCAGUAAGAGGGAGGGGACCCCACCUGCUUUUCCAGAGACUCUUCUGAGGAGGCUGGGGAUUACAGGGGAGGAGAGGUCUGAGAGUUCAUGUGUGUUUUGCGGGGCAGUGGUCACUGAAUGUGGCUGGUGGCUCUAAUGGGUCUUUUUCAGGUCACUGGGCUGGACACACGCCCCUUCCAGCUCACAGUGGAGAAGCUGGAGAUGGCCCUGCGAGAAGCUCACUCCGAGGUCUGGGGAUCAAAUCAAACCCAAGGCUGGGUGUGGGUGGGUCGGAGCAGGGCCUGGACCCUCUUCUUAUGGCUAAUCUCCUCCCGGGAAUAGGGUUGGUACCCGGUGAUGGGGACAGACAGGUAGGGUGGUAGCACAGAAUUAUUCUGGGAGUUAGGCAGAACCCUGCCCAGGGAGGGUCUUCCCUUUCAAAACAGACUCUCAGACCUCAGUUCACAGAGAAUCAACCAGGGAGCGUCACUAAAGAUACCCCCAUCCCUGAUCCAUCUGAUUAUAAUUCAGUGGGUCAAGUGUGGAGUGUAGGAGUCUGUGGUUUAACAAGUCUCCCUGGUAGUUUGAGGGGGCAGUCUUGCUCACUGUGAGGGGACCUGAGGACUCCCAAAGAAGAGCAGAGACCAGUAUUCCAGUGGUUCCUUUCCAGCCUACUUUUCAAAAAUCUACUUAAUUUUUUUUACUUCAGUCAUGAAAGCUAUACAUGCUCACUGUAGGAAUUUUGAAAGUGCAAAAGGCCCACCCAAGAUUCUACCAACAAAGAUAACCUACUGGCAUUUGGGCAUAUUUCUGGGCCUUGUCCUUUGCUUUUAUCUGAUGCUGCAGUUGUAAUUCUGUGUUCCACUUGUUUGCUUCAUGUUGUGUUAUGAACAUGUCCCCCUCAAAUCUCCCUGGGAGCCUUCCAGUGAUCAGCCCCCUUUGACUGUGUGGCUCUGGCCUUGGGGAAGAGCUGAGGGUCUCCUGCCCUAACGGAUGGUUUCAGAGUAUAAAGGUCAAAGGCCUCAUCCUCAUCAACCCCCAGAACCCUCUGGGUGACAUCUACUCCCUGGAAGAGCUGCAGGAGUACCUGGUAUUUGCCAAGAGGUGAGGCACCCCACACUCACCCCAACAGAGCAUCUGGGCAGCCUGGGGUUCCAAUGUGCGUUUGGUGCAGGUGUUUCUACUCUCUUCACCCCACUGUGGGCUGCUACUUGCUUGGGCCCUCCCGUGGCAGUGGAGUGGGGAAGCAGGGAUUUGUGGGAUGCCAUUCCUCUUUCUCUUUGGCUCUUUAUAACAAUAGCUAUCAAUUAUCGUACACUCUAGGGGCCAGGCACCAUGCUUAGCGCUUUAUGUGCCUCAUGCAAUCCUCACAACAACCCUGAUGCUGUUAUCACAUCCAGCUCACUGAGCCUUAGAGUGGUUAAGUGAGGGGUGGAGCCAGACUUGAACCUGCGUCUCUCUGACUCGAGCCCUUGUGCAUGACCCUGCCCCUCCAUGGAGGUGCCCGGGAGCUCCUUUUCUCCCCUACAGUGCUUCAAAAGCUCCUCUGUCACCGGCUCUGUAUGUGUGGCUUUCUGUUUGAAAAAAACAGACGAAAGAAUGGUGUUCUUUGAAAAACAAGUUUGGUAACCCUGGGCUAGACUCCGGCCACUCUGGAUUUCUCAUGUAUUGCCUCCCCACCCUGUGGGACGCAUUUGCCCUACACACUAAGUCUCUCCUCCUCACCCCUGCCUCACUCCAGGCACAGGCUGCAUGUGAUUGUGGAUGAGGUCUACAUGCUGUCCGUGUUUGAGGAGUCUGUUGGGUACCACAGUGUCCUAAGCCUGGAAAGGCUGCCUGACCCCCAGAGGACCCAUGUGAUGUGGGCAACCAGCAAGGACUUCGGGAUGUCUGGGCUCCGCUUUGGCACGCUGUACACAGAAAACCAGGAUGUGGCCACUGCCGUGGCUUCCCUCUGCCGCUACCAUGGCCUCAGUGGCUUGGUCCAGUACCAGAUGGCACAGCUGCUCCGGGACCGUGACUGGAUCAACCAGGUGUACCUGCCGGAAAACCAUGCCCGGCUCAAGGCUGCCCACACCUAUGUCUCAGAAGAGCUCAGGGCGUUGGGGAUCCCCUUCUUGAGUCGUGGGGCUGGCUUCUUCAUCUGGGUUGACUUGAGAAAGUACCUGCCCAAGGGCACCUUUGAGGAGGAAAUGCUGCUCUGGCGCCGCUUUUUGGACAACAAGGUGCUGCUGUCCUUUGGCAAGGCCUUCGAGUGUAAAGAGCCUGGUUGGUUUCGCUUUGUCUUCUCAGACCAGGCCCACCGGCUUUGCCUGGGGAUGCAGAGGGUCCGGCAGGUGCUUGCAGGCAAAUCCCAAGUGGCAGAAGACCCCCGUCCCUCUCAGAGCCAGGAGCCAAGUGACCAACACAGGUGAGCUGGUCAUUGUCUCGUGGCCGGAGGGCCCAGCAGCCACUGUGGACCUGGGGCGUUCUGGGGCUGCAGAAGACUGACUGUGGAUGUGCCAUUUGCCAGGAAGGUAUCUAACUUGGCUUUGUGCCUGAAGAACUGUUUCUUGUCUUUUGCUGUAGCAGUGGGAAACACCUUAAGCUGUGGUUCAGCCUGGGCCCUCCCUCUCUCCUAUUAAACAAAACUAGGAGAGUCCAUAUGUCUCCAUUGUGAGUUAUUUAGAAUGGAGGAGUCGUGACUGCUUCUAACCAGAGCCUCAGCCCCCCUGAGGAUGUGAAAAGAAAACAAACAACUUGUACCUUCUUUCUGAUAUCACCGUCAUUCCUCUUUCUUUGUCACCAAGGAAACGAGUCAAAGGAACAGCACAUACAGGAGAGUUUGCAGAAAAAUAAAAAAAAA